ACCGCGCGCGGCUGCUGCGACUCCGCGCGCGACUCGCGCGCGUGCGCGCGCAACCGCGACGCGCGCGGCGCGAGCGAUGCGCGAGCGACGGCGUCGGCGCGCUGUUGGCGCUGCUGCGACACGCGCCGUGCGCGCACGAGAGCCUCGGCGACGAGAGAAGACGGGACAGGGGAUGGACGGGACGCGGGAUGGCGAGGACGGGGACGAUUCGCGUCGGCGCGGCGCACCAGGCG
Molecule: long non-coding RNA, 233 nt
Filed under: Ostreococcus sp. 'lucimarinus'
Lineage: Eukaryota; Viridiplantae; Chlorophyta; Mamiellophyceae; Mamiellales; Bathycoccaceae
Description: long non-coding RNA (OLUC_LNC000057)
Source: RNAcentral